AUCCAGCUGACGAAGUCCCAAAUAGAACUAAACGCGCGUCCUGAAU
Molecule: non-coding RNA, 46 nt
Filed under: Schistosoma mansoni
Lineage: Eukaryota; Metazoa; Platyhelminthes; Trematoda; Strigeidida; Schistosomatidae
Source: RNAcentral